CAAGUCGAACGAAUCCCGGGGGCAACCCCGGGGGAAGUGGCGAAAGGGGCAGUAAGGCAUGGGUAACUUGCCCCGGGGAUCGGGAUAGCCUUCCCAACGGAAGGGUAAUACCGAGCGUCGUGAGCGGGAGGCAUCUCUGGCUCACGAAAGGAAUCUCGCCCCGGGAGAGGCUCAUGUAACAUUAGCUCGUUGGCGGGGUAACGGCCCACCAAGGCCAUGAUGUUUAGCGGGUGUGAGAGCACGACCCGCGCCACUGGCACUGAGACACUGGCCAGACUCCUACGGGAGGCUGCAGUCGAGAAUCUUCGGCAAUGGGCGCAAGCCUGACCGAGCGACGCCGCGUGUGCGAUGAAGGCCCUCGGGUUGUAAAGCACUGUCGAGGGGGAGAAAGCCGCAAGGUUGAUCGACCCCUGGAGGAAGCACGGGCUAAGUUCGUGCCAGCAGCCGCGGUAAGACGAACCGUGCGAACGUUAUUCGGAAUCACUGGGCUUAAAGGGCGCGUAGGCGGGCGGCCGAGUCGGAGGUGAAAGCCUGCAGCUCAACUGCAGAAGUGCCCCCGAUACUGGUCGUCUCGAGUGAGGUAGGGGCAUGCGGAACUUCCGGUGGAGCGGUGAAAUGCGUAGAUAUCGGAAGGAACGCCGGUGGCGAAAGCGGCGUGCUGGACCUCAACUGACGCUGAGGCGCGAAAGCCAGGGGAGCGAACGGGAUUAGAUACCCCGGUAGUCCUGGCCCUAAACGAUGGGUACUAGGUAGUGGACUUACAUGGGUUCACUGCCGAAGCAAAAGUGUUAAGUACCCCGCCCUGGGGAGUAUGGUCGCAAGGGCUGAAACUCAAA
This 836-nucleotide ribosomal RNA is filed under the name uncultured Planctomycetota bacterium. Its description in RNAcentral is "bacterial SSU rRNA". It matches the Rfam family "Bacterial small subunit ribosomal RNA", at positions 58 to 905 of the family's 1533-position model. The record is from RNAcentral. Lineage: Bacteria; Pseudomonadati; Planctomycetota.